RNAcentral lists this long non-coding RNA (1138 nucleotides) under Bemisia tabaci. RNAcentral describes it as "lncRNA ENSSSA1NGG011517". Lineage: Eukaryota; Metazoa; Arthropoda; Insecta; Hemiptera; Aleyrodidae. The record is from RNAcentral.
CCCGCACCCAACGGGACGGGACGGGACUCUAACCUAGAUUCAGCUCCGGUCGCGAUCCUAGCUCCGUCCCGUCCCGUCAACGUAAACAAAAUGCGUCCCUGAUUCCACCUUUUUCGCGUCCCGUCCGAAAGCUUUUCGUCAGCCUUUCCGACUUGGUUUCCCGCCGUUUUGCGUCGCGCCUGGCCCUGCAUGGCCGCGGGAAAGUAGUGCAGUGCCCCACUGGAGUAUCACCACGUUGACUCGAUGAAUCCCAAGGCUCCUUUUUUCGGGAGGAUGCGCGGUUGACGAGCGAAGCGGCGCGCGAUGGGGCGGGGGCAGAGCCCCAUGGAAUUCGGGUAGGGGCCCCCCGCCGCCUUCACUCCCACUCCACUACUAUGGACUCCUCGCACAGACCUCUCGCCUUCAAUAAGAUGGAAGCUCUUGUUCAAGAAAUGCAAGAUAUUGAAAACGGAGUGCCUGUGCGGAGUCAAAAGCUGUUCCUUACUUCCAUACCCUCAGCCUUCAUGGGUAAGUAUUAAUAGAAGUGCUAUCGAUUCCCAGGAAUAUACUUCCUUGUCCGCUCUCCUGUCAAUCGAUUAACGUGUCAUGAACAGGAUAGACAGCAUUGGCGGCUCAAAAAAUCCUUCAGACCCGCCUCGGCCGCAGGUCGCCAGAUAUACGACUCUCGAAAUGUCAGUAACGCCAUGAUUCGUUAAUUUGAAUGUGGGGCGAUCGGUUUUCCGAAAGCGAUCAUUUUGGUACGAUAAUGAUAUCAAGUUGUUCCCAUAAAUUAGUUGCCAAGGUAAUGAAAACCUUGAAGCCCUGUGUUCAAUCGAAGCAUUGAAAGCUGAAGGGGCUGUACAAAUGCGUGAUAAUGGGUCAGCUGCGGUGGUCAAAGAACCGUUCUUUAAUGCUUGAUUCUUGUAGAUUAGCUAAAAAUAAUAAGAUCCGUCCAAACAGCAACUUUCUACGUUCAAUAUUAACCGAGAUAUCGCCCUUUUAAAGAUUCGAUUUAUGACGUCAUCAACCGUGGUGGUGACACCCUUGGUUUCUUCCACCUCGCUUUCAUCCGAGUUACACGUUGAGUAACCAGUGCAAAUGCGUGUUUCCUGGCUGAUGAAAGCAAGGUGGAGGAAACCAAGGGUGUCAAUGCCCUUGU